Molecule: long non-coding RNA, 1436 nt
Organism: Aethalodelphis obliquidens (Pacific white-sided dolphin)
Lineage: Eukaryota; Metazoa; Chordata; Mammalia; Artiodactyla; Delphinidae
Exons: 2
Source: RefSeq, a predicted model, not a curated record
CUCCUGCGGAGAAGACCCAGAGCUGGACCCCCAGGCCCCUCCUGACCCGGUCCCUCUUUCAGAGCCUCAGCCCCAGAAUCUCCCCCUUGAUUCCUGGGUCAUUCUCUAUCUGGACGGAGCUCUCCCUCUGUCUCACGUUAUCCUUAUUUUGUCUAUAUUUAAGGAUUCUGGCAUCUUCUCGGGGGCCCGUUUCUCUUAUCUGCAUCCCUAACGGGACUGGAUUAAUUUAUGUCUCAGGUUCCCUCAUCCCUGAGCCCACGUCCAUCUCCCAUGUGACAAGGCCAUCCUGGGGCGAGCAAGGUGACCCCGAGGGGGGCAUUUUGGCUUCCUGAUUUUGCAGGUGAUGUACCUCAUUCUGGAGGAAGUUGAGGGAAGGUGAGGCUUGUCUGCAGGCAUGCGGGCCUGGCACUGAGCUGGGGAGGGGGAGGGGAGGCCUGGGUGUCCAGCCCUCACUCAUCUGUCUCCCUAGGCUCAGCUCUCACCACUGAGGCCAACGGGAGGCAGCAGGGCCCAGAUUUAGGGGAGGUUGUCUGUGCUGUCGUCCUGUCCUGUCCAAAGGCCCAGCAGCUUCUUCCAAGCCAGUCCUAAGGGGGUCAUGAGGAAGGGGUGUCCAAUAUCUCCCGUAUCCCAUAACCACUCUACUGGACAUGCCAGGGAGCAUCUCCAACCUCAACCACCACAGAGCAGCGGAGAGGGUGAUGCAUUAGCAGCUUAGACUAGGGGACUGGGAAGGGCAUGAGGGACAAGGCAAGUAUCCCUGGCACUGCCUGGGUCCCUGGAAGAGGGGUCACUGGAUGUCCCCUCCUCCACAGCAUAGAUGCCCUGCUCCCCUUGUCCAGCAGAAGGAGGGGAGUUCUUGCUUCCCUCUGUAUCCACCACGACCCCCCACAGGAGGAGAGGACACAGCCAGCUGGGCUCCAUGUUCUGGGCUCUGUCACCUUCUCAGUCUGUCCUGAAUCAGAAAAUACAUGACGGUCCAUUUUAAUCUCUCAGGCAGCUCUGCUGUCCAGGGACUCAGACGUUCCCAGAAUCAAGGGCCACAGUAGAGGCGGUGCAGAAGGACAGGUGCAGGAAGCUGAUUUGCAUGGAGACCCCUCCCUCCUCUGUGGGGGAGGGGAUACGGAGGUCUGGGGGCCCAGGCCCAGGGCUGGGGUCUCAGAAGGCAGCUUCUGGGGCGUAUCUGCCAUGGCCUGGGCUCUGCUUCUUGUCACCCUCCUCACUCAGGACACAGGGUACCGCCUUGACUCAGCCUCCCUCAGUGUCUGGGAAUCCGGGACAGAUGGUCACUCAUCUCUUAUGCUGGAACCAGCAGUGAGAGCAGGGGUAGCAGUUAUGUUAGCUCUUAACAACAGCGCCCGGGCACGGCCCCCAAAACCUUGAUUUAUCAGGUCAGUAAGUGGCCCGCAGUGAUCCCUGAUCGCUUCUCUGGCUCCAAG